UUCUUUGGGCAUCAAGUCAAGUUUCAGUCCUCUGUUGCGCCAAGUCAUCUCCUUAUUCUUCUUGACUUUGCUGUGGCUGAUGUUUGUCAGUCACAGAGUUUCAGCCACACACGAGUACAUGAGCUUGCUUAGCAGAAGUGCUGGCCAUGCCUGCUGGUUGCCACCCCACAGGAAAUCAUGCUCAUUUUUCUCUGAUAUUAAACAAAUACCCUUCCCUGAUGCAUUCUAACCACCUUGACCCAUUUCUCUCCAUUCCCUCCAAGCUCUUUGAAGAUAGUCUACUUUUAUAAUACCCUCUUUCUCUUUUAUCCCUUUUUCCUCACAUGACUGCGACCACCUUGUCUUCACCAUCACUGCACAAUUUUUCACCCCGAUCCCCUCUGGAUCACUACAUCCAAUGGGUCUCUUUCAGUAUUUACCUGAAGUUCUCACUCUCUGGCACUGGAUACUGUUGACCAUGCCUUUCUUUUCGGUUUCCUCCUUUGGUUUCUGUAUUACUACUGUCUCUUGUUCUCUUUUCAUCUCUCCGACUGUCCUUGGUAGAUUCCUUUUGUUUCAUCUGCCCCUCAGAUGUUGCUAUUUUUUACAGUUUUGCCCUGGUCAUCUUCUUUACUCUUUCACUCUGAGUGGUGAAAUUUUGACUGUAAUCUAUCCUAUAAUUCCUAUAAUUUUGACUGUAAUCCUAUACUUUUGACUGUAAUUUAUCUAUCAAUCAUUGAUUCUACAACUUAAAAAAAAAAACUUUUAA
This 748-nucleotide long non-coding RNA is filed under the name Homo sapiens (human). Its description in RNAcentral is "HSALNT0314886". Lineage: Eukaryota; Metazoa; Chordata; Mammalia; Primates; Hominidae. The record is from RNAcentral.